RNAcentral lists this ribosomal RNA (273 nucleotides) under uncultured marine eukaryote. RNAcentral's name for it is "partial 18S ribosomal RNA". It matches the Rfam family "Eukaryotic small subunit ribosomal RNA", at positions 612 to 886 of the family's 1831-position model. The record is from RNAcentral.
GUUGCGGUUAAAAAGCUCGUAGUUGGAUUUCUGCCGGUGAGCGACGGUCUGCCCUUAGUGGUUUGUACUCGUCGGUCUUCACUGGCAUCUUCCUGGGGGCUGUGUCUGCACUUCGCUGUGUGGUGCAUGAUCCAGGACUUUUACCUUGAGGAAAUGAGAGUGUUUCAAGCAGGCAUUCGCCUUGAAUACGUUAGCAUGGAAUAAUGGCAUCGGACCUUCAUCCAAAGCUGUUGGUUCCUUGGAAGAAGGUAAAGGUGAAUAGGGAUUGUUGGG